This is a long non-coding RNA of Colletes gigas, 1173 nucleotides long. RefSeq lists it as uncharacterized. The transcript has 4 exons. The record is from RefSeq and is a predicted model, not a curated record. NCBI's taxonomy places the organism in Eukaryota, Metazoa, Arthropoda, Insecta, Hymenoptera, Colletidae.
UCUGUUUUCACAAGUCUCGAUCCACUUUCAAAUGUUUAGAGGUAUUUGAAACUUUUACGUCCGAGUUUUAACCUCGUAUUAUUUAAGUACUCGUGAUAACAAUUCUACAGUAAACUAAUAUACAAUUUCUACCGCAGAUGUUCGUAACAACCAACCCGAGGGAGAACCCAUUAAAUUAUCGAAAGCUACGUCUGCUGGAUAACGAUGAACAUUCGAUAUUCACGAGGAAGAAAAAAUUGUUUCGAUAUAGCGAACCAUCGAUAGGAUGUGGCGACGCUUCCCGAUUUCGCCGCUAGAGGGACACCCAAUCGUUUCUCUUGCUCGCAGGAGCAAGCAUUUGAUACCCAUGCUGGUACACUCUACGUCGUCCACUCACAUUGGAUCCGAUUAUGGCGACGUUCGUACCAAUGGUUGAAGCGGAAAGAGCGACGAUGAAUUUGCUAUACACGUGAGCUCGGUAGAAUCGAGAAAUAAGACCGAUUCCAUGUGUCUUAGGCCCGGCAGUUUGCGUGUAGCGGAUAUACGCCCGAUUUUUGCAGAGCAACCCUAGUUGACACGAAUCCACGAAGGUAAGCGAACAAUGGUAGUUAAGAAACGGGUAGAAAAACGAAUGUCGCUUGCCGAUAAUAAUUUGGAUUUCAGCCGUGUCAAGAGCGGGAAGAAUAGAUUCACAUUCGCCUUCGUUCUCGACACCACGACGCUGCGCGAAGUACCGUGCGCACGUACACACAGCACGCAGUAUAUGCUGCUUUUUCCACCGACCUGCUUGUCGUUUCCGACGCACUCUCUUUUCCCUUUCUUUCUCUUCCGCUUCAACCUUCGAACAAAGGUCGCCAUAAUCAAAUCCAAUGUGAGUGGGUGUAUCCUUAAGAAGUACUGUUAUGCGUAAACAUCACUCCUUUACACUUUUCCUCAGCACUCACUUCGUGCAUGCUGUGAAGAUCCUGCUAUUUCACGAGGGAACCUGCCCUAUGAUCCUUCCACGACAUAACAGUACAACUAGUAAAUGGAUGAAUCUACGUUUAGAAUUUCCGAGUGAUGGAUGAUUGAAGAAAAUGUUCGAAGUGUCCGCCUCAUGCCUCAACACACACUAGUUCACGUCAUAGCAUUGUGUUUCUGCAAUCUCUCGAAAAAACGCCGAAUAAAUAAAAUAAAUAUAUGUAUAUACAUAUA